Molecule: non-coding RNA, 76 nt
Organism: Podarcis lilfordi (Lilford's wall lizard)
Lineage: Eukaryota; Metazoa; Chordata; Lepidosauria; Squamata; Lacertidae
Source: the annotation of a GenBank genome assembly
GCCCUCCUGUGGCGCAACGGGUCAGUGCACCCGGCUGUUAACCAAAAGGUUGGUGGUUCAAACCCAACCAGGGACG